RNAcentral lists this ribosomal RNA (497 nucleotides) under uncultured bacterium. RNAcentral describes it as "partial 16S ribosomal RNA". It matches the Rfam family "Bacterial small subunit ribosomal RNA", at positions 28 to 507 of the family's 1533-position model. The record is from RNAcentral.
GAUGAACGCUGGCGGCGUGCCUAAUACAUGCAAGUCGAGCGAACAGAUAAGGAGCUUGCUCCUUUGACGUUAGCGGCGGACGGGUGAGUAACACGUGGGUAACCUAUCUAUAAGACUGGAAUAACUCCGGGAAACCGGGGCUAAUGCCGGAUAACAUGUUGAACCGCAUGGUUCUACAGUGAAAGGCGGCUUUGCUGUCACUUAUAGAUGGACCCGCGCCGUAUUAGCUAGUUGGUGAGGUAACGGCUCACCAAGGCAACGAUACGUAGCCGACCUGAGAGGGUGAUCGGCCACACUCGAACUGAGACACGGUCCAGACUCCUACGGGAGGCAGCAGUAGGGAAUCUUCCGCAAUGGGCGAAAGCCUGACGGAGCAACGCCGCGUGAGUGAUGAAGGUCUUCGGAUCGUAAAACUCUGUUAUUAGGGAAGAACAAAUGCGUAAGUAACUGUGCGCGUCUUGACGGUACCUAAUCAGAAAGCCACGGCUAACUACGUG